This is a long non-coding RNA of Eriocheir sinensis (Chinese mitten crab), 1541 nucleotides long. RefSeq lists it as uncharacterized. The record is from RefSeq and is a predicted model, not a curated record. The transcript is spliced from 5 exons. NCBI's taxonomy places the organism in Eukaryota, Metazoa, Arthropoda, Malacostraca, Decapoda, Varunidae.
CCUUCGGCCUUCCAUCCCAAAAAUGAUAAACGCAGUGAGCAGCGCAUUCACAGUAUUAAUAAUAAAUUUCAUAAUCCAGUCUGGUAGUUUUAAGAAGCGAGUUCUAGCAUCUGCCCUCCUCGCCUCGGCAGGGCUAAGGAGCGCCAGCGAGCCCAAGGUCUCCCUGGCGAGCGUGGCAGUACUGGAGAGCUCCCCGAAGGGCAACUUGGUGUCCUCCGGGGCGUUCGCGGAGGUGCCGGAGAUAUGCCCGGGUAGGUGGGGCUCGUUAGCCGUGGUAGGCAGUUCACCUAGGAGAGCAAACUCCGAACAACAAACCCGGGCAGGUGGAGAUCGUUAGCCGUGGUAGGCAGUUCACCUAGGAGAGGGACAACUUCGAACAACAAACCCGGGCAGGUGGAGAUCGUCAGCCGUGGUAGGCAGUUCACCUAGGAGAGGGACAACUUCGAACAACAAACCCGGGCAGGUGGAGAUCGUCAGCCGUGGUAGGCAGUUCACCUAGGAGAGGGACAACUCCGAACAACAAACCCGGGAAGGUGGAGAUCGUCAGCCGUGGUAGGCAGUUCACCUAGGAGAGGGACAACUCCGAACAACAAACCCGGGAAGGUGGAGAUCGUCAGCCGUGGUAGGCAGUUCACCUAGGAGAGGGACAACUCCGAACAACAAACCCGGGAAGGUGGAGAUCGUCAGCCGUGGUAGGCAGUUCACCUAGGAGAGGGACAACUCCGAACAACAAACCCGGGCAGGUGGAGAUCGUCAGCCGUGGUAGGCAGUUCACCUAGGAGAGGGACAACUCCGAACAACAAACCCGGGCAGGUGGAGAUCGUCAGCCGUGGUAGGCAGUUCACCUAGGAGAGGGACAACUCCGAACAACAAACCCGGGAAGGUGGAGAUCGUCAGCCGUGGUAGGCAGUUCACCUAGGAGAGGGACAACUCCGAACAACAAACCCGGGCAGGUGGAGAUCGUCAGCCGUGGUAGGCAGUUCACCUAGGAGAGGGACAACUUCGAACAACAAACACGGGCAGGUGAGGAUCGUUAGCCGUGGUAGGCAGUUCACCUAGGAGAGGGACAACUUCGAACAACAAACCCGGACAGGUGGAGAUCGUUAGCCGUGGUAGGCAGUUCACCUAGGAGAGGGACAACUCCGAACAACAAACCCGGGCAGGUGGAGAUCGUCAGCCGUGGUAGGCAGUUCACCUAGGAGAGGGACAACUCCGAACAACAAACCCGGGCAGGUGGAGAUCGUUAGCCGUGGUAGGCAGUUCACCUAGGAGAGGGACAACUCCGAACAACAAACACGGGCUGGUGGAGCUCGUUAGCGUAAGGCAGUUCACCUAGGAGAGCAAACUCUGAUUACAAACCCGGGCUGGUGGAGGUCGUAAGCGUAAGGCAGUUCACCUAGGAGAGCAAACUCCGAACAACAAACCCGGGCUGGUGGAGCUCGUUAGCGUAAGGCAGUUCACCUAGGAGAGCAAACUCCGAUUACAAACCCGGGCUGGUGGAGGUCGUUAGCGUAAGGCAGUUCACCUAGGAGAAGGACAAC